UGUAUCUGAUCUUCAUAUUAAACAUUUAAACUUUCAUUACAGGUUUUCAUCGUUUUGUCCCGGUUUAUCUGUUCGGAUCAGUUGGUUUUAUUUUACUGACCUCCACUGCACUAAUAACUGAACUGAUACUGAAAACAGUGAAUGGUGAUCGUACGGUUGGAGAUCUGAGAUUCAUCGUCUUUCCAGUUGAAUGUUUCUUUGCCGUAUCUGUGCUGAUUUCAGGAUUAUUUGCGUCCAAGAUCACAAACUGUCUGCAGUCUUGUCAGAAGGCAGUGAGAUCUAGACGACUCAAAAGAUCGCAGCAGAAAACAGAAGAAACACACGAGUCAAUACCGCUGAAGAAGACUGAAGAUCAGGAGGAAACUCAGCCUGAUUCAGUGCUGUCACAAACAUGAGGAAAUUAUUAUUCCUGAUUUAUCUCAAACUCAUCAAGACAUUAAGGCACAAAUUUCUGCUUUGAAACCACAUGGAUUGUGAAAAGCACUAAAAAAAUAACACUGGCGG
This is a long non-coding RNA of Megalobrama amblycephala (Wuchang bream), 504 nucleotides long. RefSeq lists it as uncharacterized. The transcript is spliced from 4 exons. Lineage: Eukaryota; Metazoa; Chordata; Actinopteri; Cypriniformes; Xenocyprididae. The record is from RefSeq and is a predicted model, not a curated record.